RNAcentral lists this ribosomal RNA (253 nucleotides) under uncultured bacterium. RNAcentral's name for it is "partial 16S ribosomal RNA". It matches the Rfam family "Bacterial small subunit ribosomal RNA", at positions 524 to 776 of the family's 1533-position model. The record is from RNAcentral.
UACGUAGGGUGCUAGCGUUGUCCGGAAUUAUUGGGCGUAAAGAGCUCGUAGGCGGUCUGUCGCGUCGGCUGUGAAAACCCGGAGCUCAACUCCGGGCCUGCAGUCGAUACGGGCAGACUGGAGUUCGGCAGGGGAGACUGGAAUUCCUGGUGUAGCGGUGAAAUGCGCAGAUAUCAGGAGGAACACCGGUGGCGAAGGCGGGUCUCUGGACAUUUCCUGACGCUGAGGCACGAAAGCCAGGGGAGCAAACGGG